Medicago truncatula (barrel medic) is the source of this 77-nucleotide microRNA precursor. It matches the Rfam family "MIR5271 microRNA precursor family". The record is from Rfam. Lineage: Eukaryota; Viridiplantae; Streptophyta; Magnoliopsida; Fabales; Fabaceae.
UUCGGUUCGGAUAAUUGUGGUUACUAACGGUUCAGUUUGGUUGUGAAUUGUUAUCAAAAUAAUUGUUCGGUUCGAGA